This 1287-nucleotide ribosomal RNA is filed under the name metagenome. RNAcentral describes it as "bacterial SSU rRNA". It matches the Rfam family "Bacterial small subunit ribosomal RNA", at positions 242 to 1520 of the family's 1533-position model. The record is from RNAcentral.
UAGCUAGUUGGUGAGGUAAAGGCUUACCAAGGCGACGAUCUGUAGCGGGUCUGAGAGGAUGAUCCGCCACACUGGAACUGAGACACGGUCCAGACUCCUACGGGAGGCAGCAGUGGGGAAUUUUGGACAAUGGGGGCAACCCUGAUCCAGCCAUGCCGCGUGAGUGAAGAAGGCCUUCGGGUUGUAAAGCUCUUUCGGCCGGGAAGAAAUCGCAUGGGCCAAUACCCUGUGUGGAUGACGGUACCGGAAUAAGAAGCACCGGCUAACUACGUGCCAGCAGCCGCGGUAAUACGUAGGGUGCGAGCGUUAAUCGGAAUUACUGGGCGUAAAGCGUGCGCAGGCGGUUUUGUAAGACAGGCGUGAAAUCCCCGGGCUUAACCUGGGAACUGCGUUUGUGACUGCAAGGCUAGAGUACGGCAGAGGGGGGUGGAAUUCCACGUGUAGCAGUGAAAUGCGUAGAGAUGUGGAGGAACACCAAUGGCGAAGGCAGCCCCCUGGGUCGAUACUGACGCUCAUGCACGAAAGCGUGGGUAGCAAACAGGAUUAGAUACCCUGGUAGUCCACGCCCUAAACUAUGUCAACUAGGUGUUGGGUGGGUAAAACCAUUUAGUACCGUAGCUAACGCGUGAAGUUGACCGCCUGGGGAGUACGGCCGCAAGGUUAAAACUCAAAGGAAUUGACGGGGACCCGCACAAGCGGUGGAUUAUGUGGAUUAAUUCGAUGCAACGCGAAAAACCUUACCUACCCUUGACAUGCCAGGAACUUGCCAGAGAUGGCUUGGUGCCCGAAAGGGAGCCUGGACACAGGUGCUGCAUGGCUGUCGUCAGCUCGUGUCGUGAGAUGUUGGGUUUAGUCCCGCAACGAGCGCAACCCUUGUCGUUAAUUGCCAUCAUUUAGUUGGGCACUUUAACGAGACUGCCGGUGACAAACCGGAGGAAGGUGGGGAUGACGUCAAGUCCUCAUGGCCCUUAUGGGUAGGGCUUCACACGUCAUACAAUGGUCGGUACAAAGGGUUGCCAAGCCGCGAGGCGGAGCCAAUCCCAGAAAGCCGAUCGUAGUCCGGAUUGCAGGCUGCAACUCGCCUGCAUGAAGUCGGAAUCGCUAGUAAUCGUGGAUCAGCAUGUCACGGUGAAUACGUUCCCGGGUCUUGUACACACCGCCCGUCACACCAUGGGAGCGGGUUCCGCCAGAAGUAGGUAGCCUAACCGCAAGGGGGGCGCUUACCACGGCGGGGUUCGUGACUGGGGUGAAGUCGUAACAAGGUAGCCGUAGGGGAACCUGCGGCUG